GAGCAGGAAACAAGCGGAUCUGAAGCAGACCAGGUUAACAAAUGGAUCUGGAUCUGAGCACUCGGAAGGCAGGCACAGGACAGUGACUCGCUGCAAGUGACAGCGCCCAGGGGAACAAACGCCGCUUGUUCCCGGCUGGCCGCACUUCCGCCUCCUCCCCUCCCAUUCAAUCCCAGCGCCGCCGAUGCUCCCUCCAUCUCCAUGCCAUGCGGGCUCCGAACACUUUUACCACGGUGAGGGAAGCACCGUGGAGAAAGCAUGUGAUCACACGAAGCAGAUGCCACGGGAGAAAUGGCCAGAUCCACUGAACUUCGUCCAGGAUGAUAUUUACAUCCUUCCUGGAAUAAAUCAAAAUCUUUAGAGCGUUUUCCUGAGAAGGAGGAAAUAAACCUGUCUGUUGGAUGAAGUCAUGACCAACUGAGAGGCAACUGGGUCAGAAGUUGAGUGGGAAGAAGGAGGGACAGCUUUUUCAGCUCAUAGCUCAGACAUAGCCCUUCUUGGACAAUUUGCUUUGCAAUUUAACAUUUUUGUAUCUUUUCCUGAUAAGAAUAAAGAAAACUGCCCAUUGC
Haemorhous mexicanus (house finch) is the source of this 569-nucleotide long non-coding RNA. RefSeq lists it as uncharacterized. The transcript is spliced from 2 exons. NCBI's taxonomy places the organism in Eukaryota, Metazoa, Chordata, Aves, Passeriformes, Fringillidae. The record is from RefSeq and is a predicted model, not a curated record.